UAGUGGCGAACGGGUGAGUAACACGUGGGCAAUCUGCCCUUCACUCUGGGACAAGCCCUGGAAACGGGGUCUAAUACCGGAUAACACUCUGUCCCGCAUGGGACGGGGUUAAAAGCUCCGGCGGUGAAGGAUGAGCCCGCGGCCUAUCAGCUUGUUGGUGGGGUGAUGGCCUACCAAGGCGACGACGGGUAGCCGGCCUGAGAGGGCGACCGGCCACACUGGGACUGAGACACGGCCCAGACUCCUACGGGAGGCAGCAGUGGGGAAUAUUGCACAAUGGGCGAAAGCCUGAUGCAGCGACGCCGCGUGAGGGAUGACGGCCUUCGGGUUGUAAACCUCUUUCAGCAGGGAAGAAGCGAGAGUGACGGUACCUGCAGAAGAAGCGCCGGCUAACUACGUGCCAGCAGCCGCGGUAAUACGUAGGGCGCAAGCGUUGUCCGGAAUUAUUGGGCGUAAAGAGCUCGUAGGCGGCUUGUUGCGUCGGUUGUGAAAGCCCGGGGCUUAACCCCGGGUCUGCAGUC
Molecule: ribosomal RNA, 521 nt
Filed under: Streptomyces sp. 310F08
Lineage: Bacteria; Bacillati; Actinomycetota; Actinomycetes; Kitasatosporales; Streptomycetaceae
Description: bacterial SSU rRNA
Rfam family: Bacterial small subunit ribosomal RNA
Source: RNAcentral